GAUGAACGCUGGCGGCGUGCCUAAUACAUGCAAGUCGAGCGAACAGACGAGGAGCUUGCUCCUCUGACGUUAGCGGCGGACGGGUGAGUAACACGUGGAUAACCUACCUAUAAGACUGGGAUAACUUCGGGAAACCGGAGCUAAUACCGGAUAAUAUAUUGAACCGCAUGGUUCAAUAGUGAAAGACGGUUUUGCUGUCACUUAUAGAUGGAUCCGCGCCGCAUUAGCUAGUUGGUAAGGUAACGGCUUACCAAGGCAACGAUGCGUAGCCGACCUGAGAGGGUGAUCGGCCACACUGGAACUGAGACACGGUCCAGACUCCUACGGGAGGCAGCAUUAGGGAAUCUUCCGCAAUGGGCGAAAGCUUGACGGAGCAACGCCGCGUGAGUGAUGAAGGUCUUCGGAUCGUAAAACUCUGUUAUUAGGGAAGAACAAAUGUGUAAGUAACUAUGCACGUCUUGACGGUACCUAAUCAGAAAGCCACGGCUAACUACGUG
Molecule: ribosomal RNA, 497 nt
Filed under: uncultured bacterium
Lineage: Bacteria
Description: partial 16S ribosomal RNA
Rfam family: Bacterial small subunit ribosomal RNA
Source: RNAcentral